Helicoverpa zea (corn earworm) is the source of this 280-nucleotide long non-coding RNA. RefSeq lists it as uncharacterized. NCBI's taxonomy places the organism in Eukaryota, Metazoa, Arthropoda, Insecta, Lepidoptera, Noctuidae. The transcript has 3 exons. The record is from RefSeq and is a predicted model, not a curated record.
GUAAGCACCAGUUUACUCUACUUAUCCAGUGUCUGAGCAACUAUUGUUGAAGCUAUUCCGGUUAUUCUUGGUACAUAUUUUUUCAAUUUCAACUGAAGCAUGACGUGUCUUUCAAUGUGAUCUGGGUACUAUUUUACAAAACUUAUCCAGAUAUUUGGAUCUUGCAGAAUUGAGGCAGUACAGCUAAGUUCUCCAUUUUUAGAGACUACAAUAUAUAAGAUAUGACCAUUUCUAAUUAUGUUUUUAUUUUUGUCAAACUUAACAAGUCUUGUUUCGUACA